UACGGAGGGUGCGAGCGUUGUCCGGAAUCAUUGGGCGUAAAGGGCGCGUAGGUGGCUCGCCAAGCGGGCGGUGAAAGCCUGGGGCUCAACCCCGGGUCGGCCGUGCGAACUGGCGAGCUGGAGCACUGUAGAGGCAGGCGGAAUUCCGGGUGUAGCGGUGGAAUGCGUAGAGAUCCGGAAGAACACCGGUGGCGAAGGCGGCCUGCUGGGCAGUGGCUGACACUGAGGCGCGACAGCGUGGGGAGCAAACAGG
This 253-nucleotide ribosomal RNA is filed under the name uncultured bacterium. Its description in RNAcentral is "partial 16S ribosomal RNA". It matches the Rfam family "Bacterial small subunit ribosomal RNA", at positions 524 to 776 of the family's 1533-position model. The record is from RNAcentral.